CGCGUAGGCGGCUUUGCAAGUCAGAUGUGAAAGCCCCGGGCUUAACUCGGGAACUGCAUCUGAAACUGCUUAGCUUGAGUCCUGGAGGGGGUAGUGGAAUUCCCAGUGUAGCGGUGAAAUGCGUAGAUAUUGGGAGGAACACCUGCGGCGAAGGCGGCUACCUGGACAGUGACUGACGCUGAGGCGCGAAAGCUAGGGGAGCGAACGGGAUUAGAUACCCCGGUAGUCCUAGCCGUAAACGAUGGGCACUUGGUGUUGGGGGUAUUGAGUCCCUCGGUGCCGGAGUUAACACGUUAAGUGCCCCGCCUGGGGAGUACGGUCGCAAGACUGAA
This 332-nucleotide ribosomal RNA is filed under the name uncultured Bacillota bacterium. Its description in RNAcentral is "bacterial SSU rRNA". It matches the Rfam family "Bacterial small subunit ribosomal RNA", at positions 568 to 898 of the family's 1533-position model. Lineage: Bacteria; Bacillati; Bacillota. The record is from RNAcentral.